UACGAAGGGGGCUAGCGUUGUUCGGAAUUACUGGGCGUAAAGCGUAUGCAGGCGGAUCAUUAAGUCGGGGGUGAAAUCCCGAGGCUCAACCUCGGAACUGCCUUCGAUACUGAUGAUCUUGAGUCCGGGAGAGGUGAGUGGAACUGCGAAGUGUAGAGGUGAAAUUCGUAGAUAUUCGCAAGAACACCAGUGGCGAAGGCGACUCACUGGACAUGUAUUGACGCUGAGGAGCGAAAGCGUGGGGAGCAAACAGG
This 254-nucleotide ribosomal RNA is filed under the name uncultured bacterium. RNAcentral describes it as "partial 16S ribosomal RNA". It matches the Rfam family "Bacterial small subunit ribosomal RNA", at positions 524 to 776 of the family's 1533-position model. The record is from RNAcentral.